GGAGAUGUGGCCAAGUGGUUCAAGGCAUAGCAUUGGAACUGCUAUGAGGCUUUUUGUUUACCGAGGGUUCAAAUCCUCUCUUUCCG
Molecule: non-coding RNA, 86 nt
Organism: Datura stramonium (jimsonweed)
Lineage: Eukaryota; Viridiplantae; Streptophyta; Magnoliopsida; Solanales; Solanaceae
Source: the annotation of a GenBank genome assembly